CCUACGGGAGGCAGCAGUGGGGAAUAUUGGGCAAUGGGCGCAAGCCUGACCCAGCAACGCCGCGUGAAGGAAGAAGGCUUUCGGGUUGUAAACUUCUUUUCUCAGGGACGAAGCAAGUGACGGUACCUGAGGAAUAAGACACGGCUAACGACGUGCCAGCAGCGGCGGUAAGACGUAGGUGGCAAGCGUUAUGCGGAUUUACGGGGUGUAAAGGGCGUGUAGGCGGGACUGCAAGUCAGAUGUGAAAACCACGGGCUCAACCUGUGGCCUGCAUUUGAAACUGUAGUUCUUGAGUACUGGAGAGGCAGACGGAAUUCCUAGGGUAGCGGUGAAAUGCGUAGAUAUUAGGAGGGACACCAGUGGCGAAGGCGGUCUGCUGGACAGCAACUGACGCUGAGGCGCGAAAGCGUGGGGAGCAAACAGGAUUAGAUACCCCUGUAGUC
RNAcentral lists this ribosomal RNA (443 nucleotides) under uncultured bacterium. RNAcentral describes it as "partial 16S ribosomal RNA". It matches the Rfam family "Bacterial small subunit ribosomal RNA", at positions 338 to 795 of the family's 1533-position model. The record is from RNAcentral.